Long non-coding RNA from Vigna radiata var. radiata (mung bean), 578 nucleotides. RefSeq lists it as uncharacterized. The record is from RefSeq and is a predicted model, not a curated record. Lineage: Eukaryota; Viridiplantae; Streptophyta; Magnoliopsida; Fabales; Fabaceae. The transcript has 3 exons.
GUUCGUCUACUGGGUUUAGGAAUCAAGUUCCCUCCUUCUCUUCUCUGUUUUGUUUCUCCUUUCCCUUUUUCAUGAAAAUGCAUUUUUCAUAUCGCGUCAUACCUUCAAAACGCGUUUUAAUCGUGCUCACUAACCGUUUUUAGACAUCGUGCUCAUGUGAGAGAUCUUCGUUCAGCCAGUAAGUUCUCUCGUGUUCUUCUCCCAAACUCUCUGUCCGAUAUGUCUCCAACUAUUGCAAGUUGUAAGAUGGGGAAGGUUAUUGAUGCUGAUUCCCGUUUAAUGCAGUCUGUAGAGAAAGACUAUGUACUUGUCAAUUCCCAUUUUGCAUCAUUGGCGUCCCCUCUUAUUCGUGCUGGCAGCGUAGAAGCCAUUGCUGGACCUUCCAAACCCUAUAGAGUCACGCAGUCAGUUGCGAUGUGAUGAUCGUUCACACGUGAUGCUAUCACGACAUGAAGAUGAACACAUCCAACGACAUCAUGACACAGUCGUCUUCGUCGAUAGCGACUUAGUCGUCGUUACUCAGGGGAAUGUUGGCAUUUUGGGAUGAGUAAUUGACCUUGGCAUUCAAUUUCACAUGU